AAGUAGUGCCUAUGCGCUAUUUAGUGGCAAACGGGUGAGUAACACGUAGCUUAGCUGUCCUAAAGUGGGGGAUAGCCGCGGGAAGCCGCGGGUAAUACCGCAUGUGAUCUACGGAUUAAAGCUUAAUGCGCUUUAGGAGGUGGCUGCGGCCCAUCAGGUUGUUGGCGGGGUAAUGGCCCACCAAGCCUAUGACGGGUAUCCGGCCUGAGAGGGUGAUCGGACACAUUGGAACUGAGACACGGUCCAGACUCCUACGGGAGGCAGCAGCUAGGAAUUUUCCGCAAUGGACGAAAGUCUGACGGAGCAACGCCGCGUGAAGGAUGAAGGUCUUUAGGGAUUGUAAACUUCUUUUAUAUGAGACGAGUAAGGACGGUAUCAUAAGAAUAAGUCCCGGCUAACUACGUGCCAGCAGCCGCGGUAAUACGUAGGGGGCUAGCGUUGUUCGGAAUUACUGGGUAUAAAGGGUGCGCAGGCGGAUUUCUAAGCAAGAGGUGAAAUGUCAAGGCUCAACCAUGGCACUGCCUUUUGAACUGGUUAUCUGGAGUACAGAAGGGGAGAGCAGAAUUUCCGGUGUAGGGGUGGAAUCUAUAGAUAUCGGAAGGAAUACCGUUCGCGAA
This 617-nucleotide ribosomal RNA is filed under the name uncultured bacterium. RNAcentral's name for it is "bacterial SSU rRNA". It matches the Rfam family "Bacterial small subunit ribosomal RNA", at positions 69 to 719 of the family's 1533-position model. The record is from RNAcentral.